AACGUAGGGGGCGAGCGUUGCCCGGAUUCACUGGGCGUAAAGCGCGUGUAGGCGGUCCGCUAAGUCGGAUGUGAAAUCUCGAGGCUCAACCUCGAAAUUGCAUCUGAAACUGGCAGACUUGAGGACGGUAGAGGUCGGUGGAAUGCCAGGUGUACCGGUGAAAUGGGUAAAUAUCUGGCGGAACACCAGUGGCGAAGGCGGCCGACUGGGCCGUUCCUGACGCUGAGACGCGAAAGCCA
This 239-nucleotide ribosomal RNA is filed under the name uncultured bacterium. RNAcentral describes it as "partial 16S ribosomal RNA". It matches the Rfam family "Bacterial small subunit ribosomal RNA", at positions 524 to 762 of the family's 1533-position model. The record is from RNAcentral.